AGGAACGCAUCUUCGAUGACAUGAACAAUGGCUUUGGCUGGAAUCGAUUGCCAAAAUCGUUCAUGGCACAGAAUACUGUAUUCCUGCUUAUGACAGCUCUCAUCAGAAACUUCUACAAAGCUAUUAUGCAGAGAUUGAAAACCCGUGAAUUUGGAUUGCGUGCCACCAGCAGGAUCAAGACCUUUGUUUUCAAGUUCAUCUCUGUUCCUGCAAAAUGGAUUAAGACAUCACGCAGGCAUGUAUUGAACAUUUACUCAGACAACAAUACUUAUGCCAACCUGUUCA
Molecule: ribosomal RNA, 285 nt
Filed under: Parabacteroides distasonis str. 3999B T(B) 4
Lineage: Bacteria; Pseudomonadati; Bacteroidota; Bacteroidia; Bacteroidales; Tannerellaceae
Description: partial 23S ribosomal RNA
Source: RNAcentral